GAUGAACGCUGGCGGCGUGCCUAAUACAUGCAAGUCGAGCGAACAGACGAGGAGCUUGCUCCUCUGACGUUAGCGGCGGACGGGUGAGUAACACGUGGAUAACCUAGCUAUAAGACUGGGAUAACUUCGGGAAACCGGAGCUAAUACCGGAUAAUAUAUUGAACCGCAUGGUUCAAUAGUGAAAGACGGUUUUGCUGUCACUUAUAGAUGGAUCCGCGCCGCAUUAGCUAGUUGGUAAGGUAACGGCUUACCAAGGCAACGAUGCGUAGCCGACCUGAGAGGGUGAUCGGCCACACUGGAACUGAGACACGGUCCAGACUCCUACGGGAGGCAGCAGUAGGGAAUCUUCCGCAAUGGGCGAAAGCCUGUCGGAGCAACGCCGCGUGAGUGAUGAAGGUCUUCGGAUCGUAAAACUCUGUUAUUAGGGAAGAACAAAUGUGUAAGUAACUAUGCACGUCUUGACGGUACCUAAUCAGAAAGCCACGGCUAACUACGUG
This 497-nucleotide ribosomal RNA is filed under the name uncultured bacterium. RNAcentral describes it as "partial 16S ribosomal RNA". It matches the Rfam family "Bacterial small subunit ribosomal RNA", at positions 28 to 507 of the family's 1533-position model. The record is from RNAcentral.